RNAcentral lists this ribosomal RNA (1343 nucleotides) under uncultured bacterium. RNAcentral describes it as "16S ribosomal RNA". It matches the Rfam family "Bacterial small subunit ribosomal RNA", at positions 28 to 1378 of the family's 1533-position model. The record is from RNAcentral.
GACGAACGCUGGCGGCGUGCUUGACACAUGCAAGUCGAACGGAAAGGCCCUGCUUUUGUGGGGUGCUCGAGUGGCGAACGGGUGAGUAACACGUGAGUAACCUGCCCUUGACUUUGGGAUAACUUCAGGAAACUGGGGCUAAUACCGGAUAGGAGCUCCUGCUGCAUGGUGGGGGUUGGAAAGUUUCGGCGGUUGGGGAUGGACUCGCGGCUUAUCAGCUUGUUGGUGGGGUAGUGGCUUACCAAGGCUUUGACGGGUAGCCGGCCUGAGAGGGUGACCGGCCACAUUGGGACUGAGAUACGGCCCAGACUCCUACGGGAGGCAGCAGUGGGGAAUAUUGCACAAUGGGCGGAAGCCUGAUGCAGCAACGCCGCGUGCGGGAUGACGGCCUUCGGGUUGUAAACCGCUUUCGCCUGUGACGAAGCGUGAGUGACGGUAAUGGGUAAAGAAGCACCGGCUAACUACGUGCCAGCAGCCGCGGUGAUACGUAGGGUGCGAGCGUUGUCCGGAUUUAUUGGGCGUAAAGGGCUCGUAGGUGGUUGAUCGCGUCGGAAGUGUAAUCUUGGGGCUUAACCCUGAGCGUGCUUUCGAUACGGGUUGACUUGAGGAAGGUAGGGGAGAAUGGAAUUCCUGGUGGAGCGGUGGAAUGCGCAGAUAUCAGGAGGAACACCAGUGGCGAAGGCGGUUCUCUGGGCCUUUCCUGACGCUGAGGAGCGAAAGCGUGGGGAGCGAACAGGCUUAGAUACCCUGGUAGUCCACGCUGUAAACGGUGGGUACUAGGUGUGGGGUCCAUUCCACGGGUUCCGUGCCGUAGCUAACGCUUUAAGUACCCCGCCUGGGGAGUACGGCCGCAAGGCUAAAACUCAAAGGAAUUGACGGGGCCCCGCACAAGCGGCGGAGCAUGCGGAUUAAUUCGAUGCAACGCGUAGAACCUUACCUGGGUUUGACAUGGAUCGGGAGUGUUCAGAGAUGGGUGUGCCUCUUUUGGGGUCGGUUCACAGGUGGUGCAUGGCUGUCGUCAGCUCGUGUCGUGAGAUGUUGGGUUAAGUCCCGCAACGAGCGCAACCCUUGUUCACUGUUGCCAGCACGUUAUGGUGGGGACUCAGUGGAGACCGCCGGGGUCAACUCGGAGGAAGGUGGGGAUGACGUCAAGUCAUCAUGCCCCUUAUGUCCAGGGCUUCACGCAUGCUACAAUGGCUGGUACAGAGAGUGGCGAGCCUGUGAGGGUGAGCGAAUCUCGGAAAGCCGGUCUCAGUUCGGAUUGGGGUCUGCAACUCGACCUCAUGAAGUCGGAGUCGCUAGUAAUCGCAGAUCAGCAACGCUGCGGUGAAUACGUUCCCGGG